UACGUAGGGUGCGAGCGUUAAUCGGAAUUACUGGGCGUAAAGCGUGCGCAGGCGGUGAUGUAAGUCAGUUGUGAAAUCCCCGGGCUCAACCUGGGAACUGCAUCUGUGACUGCAUCGCUGGAGUGCGGCAGAGGGGGAUGGAAUUCCGCGUGUAGCAGUGAAAUGCGUAGAUAUGCGGAGGAACACCGAUGGCGAAGGCAAUCCCCUGGGCCUGCACUGACGCUCAUGCACGAAAGCGUGGGGAGCAAACAGG
Molecule: ribosomal RNA, 253 nt
Filed under: uncultured bacterium
Lineage: Bacteria
Description: partial 16S ribosomal RNA
Rfam family: Bacterial small subunit ribosomal RNA
Source: RNAcentral